CGCGGCCUAUCAGCUUGUUGGUGGGGUGAUGGCCUACCAAGGCGUCGACGGGUAGCCGGCCUGAGAGGGCGACCGGCCACACUGGGACUGAGACACGGCCCAGACUCCUACGGGAGGCAGCAGUGGGGAAUAUUGCACAAUGGGCGAAAGCCUGAUGCAGCGACGCCGCGUGAGGGAUGACGGCCUUCGGGUUGUAAACCUCUUUCAGCAGGGAAGAAGGCCUUCGGGUGGACGGUACCUGCAGAAGAAGCGCCGGCUAACUACGUGCCAGCAGCCGCGGUAAUACGUAGGGCGCAAGCGUUGUCCGGAAUUAUUGGGCGUAAAGAGCUCGUAGGCGGUUUGUCGCGUCUGGUGUGAAAUCCCGAGGCUCAACCUCGGGCUUGCAUCGGGUACGGGCAGACUAGAGUACUGUAGGGGAGACUGGAAUUCCUGGUGUAGCGGUGGAAUGCGCAGAUAUCAGGAGGAACACCGAUGGCGAAGGCAGGUCUCUGGGCAGUUACUGACGCUGAGGAGCGAAAGCAUGGGGAGCGAACAGGAUUAGAUACCCUGGUAGUCCAUGCCGUAAACGUUGGGCACUAGGUGUGGGGCUCAUUCCACGAGUUCCGUGCCGCAGCUAACGCAUUAAGUGCCCCGCCUGGGGAGUACGG
RNAcentral lists this ribosomal RNA (647 nucleotides) under uncultured Actinomycetes bacterium. Its description in RNAcentral is "bacterial SSU rRNA". It matches the Rfam family "Bacterial small subunit ribosomal RNA", at positions 232 to 885 of the family's 1533-position model. The record is from RNAcentral. Lineage: Bacteria; Bacillati; Actinomycetota; Actinomycetes.